UUUAUGACUAAGAUAAGGAAUAGUAAAAUUUCAUUCUUUUCAAAGAGAAGAAACUAUUUGGUGAGAUGUUUCUAAAAGAAUACUUUUGAACCAGCCUUUGAGUUCUGUACUGAAAUUAUAGUAGGAUACAGCGGAUUUUACCGUUAUAAAUUUGAGAGAAUAUAUUAAUUUAAAUAUAUUAAUAAGGGUGGUACCACCGUAAGCUCGGUCCCUAUG
Molecule: non-coding RNA, 216 nt
Filed under: Clostridium novyi
Lineage: Bacteria; Bacillati; Bacillota; Clostridia; Eubacteriales; Clostridiaceae
Description: T-box sequence
Rfam family: T-box leader
About the family: Uncharged tRNA acts as the effector for transcription antitermination of genes in the T-box leader family.
Source: RNAcentral